CCCAUCUGGGCAGAGGGAUCCUCCUCCUCUCAUCACUGGUGCUGGGUCUCCUUAGGCUGAGCUUCUCUUUGUUUAGGUGCUUCCUUCUGCUUGCUCCUGAAGAGUUGAAGUACUUGGUGGAACUGGAAGCUCACAGAUAUAAUUUCCUAACUCUCUCCAGCAGUGGCACAGAAGAUAGAUUUCUGAAAGCUACCUGUGAGUCAGAAGGAAGGCUGGCAGGAGCAGAGAAAUGGAAUAACUUGCCUCAUAUACACAUGGCUGGCUCUCUACCAAACUCAUAUUCCUGCUCUAGGUGAAAUAGGGCACUCAAAGCAAUUCAGUUAUUCAGAAAAUCUUCUUAUGCCUUUCCCCUCCCUUUCUCACCAUAUUAUUCCCUUGCAUUCAAUACUGCUUGUGAAUCCUCAUUGCUUAUCCCAUUCACACAUGGAAAAUCACCUUGAAGGUGCUCUUAACACUUGGGGUUAAGUCUUCAGAUUGUCAGCAAAUUUGCAGACUUGCCAUUCCUUCAAUUUCUAAGGACUGUGGAGCCCUAUCUCCUUCUGAUUACAUUCCUUUAGAGUUGUCAAAGCCUGUAGCUGAAUUACUUGACUCAUAAUAGAAGAACUGUCAGCCAGUGAAAUCAUAUGAAAUUAUUUUCCAGAAGAAAUGGAGCAAGAUUCAUAUUUCCUACAUUUAGACAUCUACCUGAUGGUAGACAUCUGUGUCUGAGGUAGUUAGCUGGAUUCUUUUUUUUAUAGUCAGUAGAAAAACACACAUUUGCAGGAUAAGAUUCCCAUCUGCUAAGGCAAUUGUUUCUUAAACAGGUUGAGCGAAUAGCUAUCUGGAAAUGCCUCUUUCUCUCCAUUAACUACUAAAAAACAACAAACAAACAAAAAAAUGUUUGGAGAGGCCAUAGAGACAAGUCCAAAGUCAGACAAGAGGAAUUUUUAUCUGCUCAAGGCCAAAGAUAAAGAAAGUAAAGUGGAACUGAGUUCUGAAACCUCCAUGAAGGUGGUGCAUUUUAUUCAGAAUUGAUUGAUUACUGACAUCCAUAUGAGCUAAGACACUACUUGUGGAACCAGUUGUUUGUUACAACAUGAAGGUUACUUUGGUAAAGGAUGAUAUUAAUGAAGAUUUACAUUCACAUGGAACCAAGAUCAAAAAGAUACGAGUCGAUUCAUUCUCUGUAUAUGGGUGGAAAACUUUGAAAAACAGCCAGUAUCAGAAAGUGCUGGGAAUUUUCCCAGUCUCAUGACAGAAAUGUUCAAAGCAAAGAAGUCCUAUGGUCAGCUAACUGCACAAGCGCCAGUAUAUUCAGACACGAGAGACAUCAUUUCAAGUUUCUGCAUAGUAUAAUUCAGGUCAAAGUAUUUUGCAUUCUAGAUGGAUGCCCUAAAUUCCUUAUUAUAAAAUAAUGUGAUUUUUAAAUUAUUCUAUGAAGAGACAAAAUGAGAGAAAUUCAACUGGAAAUGUAAAAUAUUGAUUUUUUUUUUUUUUUAGGUCAUUACAACAAACAUCUCUAAGUCAACAUAGAUUUUAUCUUGUGUUUUCCACCUUGCUUUAGAACUCUGUCUCUCCAACUAAAACUCUGCUUAUUACUGGAAACCAAUUAUUUGUAACCUGACUAAACUUUGUAAUUUUUUUUUUCCCCUUGGGGCUCCCUAAAUUUUUUUACCCAACUGCUGAAUGGCAGUUGUCCCACCAUUCCCAAGUUACACUCAGGCCCCAAUAUCUAUGCAGUUUGUAAAAUAUUUUCUGGGAAAAGAAAGUAAUAAAAAUUAGAAAGUCUGUCAAGCAAAAGAAA
This is a long non-coding RNA of Pogoniulus pusillus (Red-fronted tinkerbird), 1783 nucleotides long. RefSeq lists it as uncharacterized. The transcript is spliced from 5 exons. NCBI's taxonomy places the organism in Eukaryota, Metazoa, Chordata, Aves, Piciformes, Lybiidae. The record is from RefSeq and is a predicted model, not a curated record.